RNAcentral lists this ribosomal RNA (878 nucleotides) under uncultured eukaryote. RNAcentral describes it as "SSU rRNA". It matches the Rfam family "Eukaryotic small subunit ribosomal RNA", at positions 636 to 1469 of the family's 1831-position model. The record is from RNAcentral.
CGGUGUUCAACUGGCGUGUCCGCGGGACGUCCUGCCGGUGGGCUUAGCCCGCAAGGGCGGCCCAACUUCAAAUCCCAUCGCGGUGCUCUUCACUGAGUGUCGAGGUGGGCCGGCACGUUUACUUUGAACAAAUUAGAGUGCUUAAAGCAGGCUAAAACUUCGCCUGAAUACUGUGUGCAUGGAAUAAUGGAAUAGGGCCUCGGUUCUAUUUUGUUGGUUUUCGGAACCCCGAGGUAAUGAUUAAUAGGAACGGAUGGGGGCAUUCGUAUUGCGACGUUAGAGGUGAAAUUCUUGGAUCGUCGCAAGACGGACAGAAGCGAAAGCAUUUGCCAAAAACGCUUUCAUUGAUCAAGAACGAAAGUUAGAGGUUCGAAGGCGAUCAGAUACCGCCCUAGUUCUAACCAUAAACGAUGCCAGCUAGCGAUCCGUCGACGUUCCUCCGAUGACUCGACGGGCAGCUUCCGGGAAACCAAAGCUUUUGGGUUCCGGGGGAAGUAUGGUUGCAAAGCUGAAACUUAAAGGAAUUGACGGAAGGGCACCACCAGGAGUGGGAGCCUGCGGCUUAAUUAGACUCAACACGGGAAACCUCACCAGGCCCGGACACCGGAAGGAUUGACAGAUUGAGAGCUCUUUCUUGAUUCGGUGGGUGGUGGUGCAUGGCCGUUCUUAGUUGGUGGAGCGAUUUGUCUGGUUAAUUCCGAUAACGAACGAGACUCUAGCCUGCUAACUAGGCGUAUUUUCGACAUCUCAAAGGUCCGUCGUCCCGGCCCUCGGGUCGUGGGCGUGCGCGAUUUUUACUGUCGGCGUACUAUCAAUUCUUCUUAGAGGGACAGGUGGCUUCUAGCCGCACGAGAUUGAGCAAUAACAGGUCUGUGAUG